GCCGUCGUAGCUCAGCCUGGAAGAGCACUCGGCUGAAGACCGAGCUGUCGUGAGCUCAAAUCUCACCGGCGGCA
Molecule: transfer RNA, 74 nt
Filed under: Candidatus Nitrosopumilus sp.
Lineage: Archaea; Thermoproteati; Nitrososphaerota; Nitrososphaeria; Nitrosopumilales; Nitrosopumilaceae
Also listed under: 3 other names
Description: Nitrosopumilus sp. tRNA-Phe
Rfam family: tRNA
About the family: Transfer RNA (tRNA) molecules are approximately 80 nucleotides in length. Their secondary structure includes four short double-helical elements and three loops (D, anti-codon, and T loops).
Source: RNAcentral